This 251-nucleotide ribosomal RNA is filed under the name uncultured bacterium. RNAcentral describes it as "partial 16S ribosomal RNA". It matches the Rfam family "Bacterial small subunit ribosomal RNA", at positions 84 to 334 of the family's 1533-position model. The record is from RNAcentral.
CCUGGUGGCGACCGGCGCACGGGUGAGUAACGCGUACACAACCUACCUUUAAGAGGGGGAUAGCCUUGGGAAACUGAGAUUAAUACCCCAUGUGAUUGUUGGAACUAUAUUUUGACAAUUAAAGGAGCAAUCCGCUUAGAGAUGGGUGUGCGUCCCAUUAGAUAGUUGGUGAGGUAACGGCUCACCAAGUCGACGAUGGGUAGGGGGCGUGAGAGCGUGACCCCCCACACGGGUACUGAGACACGGACCCG